UGGAUCAAGUAUGCAAGCAUAUAGCGCCCACUGGAUCCAAGCCGCCUCCACCAUUGGAGGAGAGACUUGACGAGAUUUUGCGUGUUUCCCCGUGAGACAUUGAAUGAGAUCCGCCGAUCAGUGUAUACUAACAGCGGUGUAUAUAAACAACCACAUCCCACAACCCUGGCCUCUCCUAUUAUCAAGUAAACAACAGUUUAACGUAUUUACUUUCUUUUAUUUUGAAAAUUAACCGUAUAUUUUAACCGCAUACAACUUCUGCUGCUGCUCGUGCUGCACUGCACUGAAAUUGUUGCGUAUUUGAUCUGCCUGCCGUGCUGGAGCAGAGCGGAGCUGAGCCGUUACGGAUCCUGUGGGUUUUGCCCGUUAGGCUACGAGUUUGCAUGAAGAGGAGCAUGCAGAGCAGCGCUGUCUCUGCCAACGACUCAGAGGUGAAUUGCUAAUGAGCUACUGGAGCUCUGCAGAAGAAAAGCCCUUGAAAAUGAUAUGGGUAACCAGUUUGGCUAAAAACUUCAUAAUCACAAUUUAAAAACCAUUGAGAACUCUUUAAAUAGUUAAGAAAAAACUAACAAUUUGAAUGGGACUUUAAAGAGGAUAUAGGCCUAGAGAAAACAAAUGACUCUGCAUCCACCUCUGAUUCACCAAUACCGAUUGCCUACAUACAUGGUGAAAAUGACAGGGUUGAGAACAUAAUUGAAAUAUACUGAUGCUCUCUUGUCGUUGAGAAUGAAGUGGAUAUGCCAUAUCCAUGACACAGUGUUGGUUAUUAAUAACGCUGAACCUCCAACAGGCCACAGCAAUCUCAUCUUUCUCAGGUUUUAAAAUUCCAACAGCUAAAAGAUAAACAUCACAGACACCUGCUUUAAUGAGAUGCAACAAUACUAGAAUAUAAACCAGAAUGUAAGCAUAUAUUAUGUAUACAGGGGUAUGACUAACCAGAUUCAUUUGUGCUCAUGUAAAUGCAACAUCCCAAAUACAAUCAAAACUGGGAUCAGGCUCAUAACCGGGAUGUUCACAUUAACUGAGACAUUUUCUUUUCUGUUUCCUAGUCUUUUAACACCUCAUUAUUCCAUCUGUAUUAUGUUUAGAGUUUAACCCAUCCUCAAUGUCAAAUUUCCUCAAUCAUGGUCAUGUUGUUUUUUUUUUUUUGUCUUUACCCUUUCCUGUCACAACAGUUUGAGCCUCUUUUUUUGUUUUCUGACAAUAAACAAAGCUAUGUAAAAUUAAGAGGUUUGUUUGUUUGCCAUGGUCUAUGAUCAGACCAUGGCAUCAACCUUAUCAACUACACGUUGAUUGCAGUUAUACCAUAACCAUAUAUGACUUCCAAACUUAAACAUUUUGGUGACAGUGCUAAUUAGAGGAUCUGAUCAGGAGAAGUAAUCAGCAGCCAGAAGUUGUCCUUCUCAUACUGUUACCUCACCAAUGUGUUGAUAGAAGCUGGCCUUGUGUUUAGACUCUGAUUUUCAAUCAUGUCCUGAUUUGCUGAGCAGUUUGAAUGUGAGUUUUUCUAACUGCACUCAAUUUUCUCUGUAACUCAGGACUGAACAUUACCUCUAUUUACCCCAGAACACUAGCUACAACUUUUUCUGUAAGUCUUCAAUUGAAUUUGUUUCAUGGUUUCAGGGAUUCAGUCUUUUGGGAGAAAAACGCUUCAAAAUUGAGGUUUUAUCAUCUCAGUGGGGGAUUCAGAAUUUUUGUACGUGCCACAUUCUCACGAACUGUGAGUUCCAAAGAAACAAGUUUGCAGCCACAACAGUUGAACAAGGUUGUUUCUAAACAUGGCAGCUGAUCACAAUGACUGCGCUAACAUGCUCAUUUAAAGCAGUGAUAAACCCAUUGUGCCUGCCAUCAAAAUGUAGCACACACCACUCUUAAAACAAAGCAUGCAAUUUAUCUGGCAGCUGUGUCACUAGCUUUGUGAGUAUUGUUGAGGAAAUUAUAGCAUAAAUCCAAGGACCCAGGAUUCCUGUGUGGCCAGAGAGGUUUUUUUUAAUGGUAGCAAGUGGUGAAGUCCCCCAAAGUGACAGAAUGACAAUCUGGGGGAGUUGACACCAAACAAUAGCUGUGAUCUUUGUUCUCCAACUAAACAGUCAGACAACAGAAAUUCUUCUAGUAGGUUCCAAAUUCACCCUAUCCAAAGCUGACAGUCUCUUCCCAUCGACAGUUCCUCAGUUUCCCCCUCCCCUCAGGUCAAGAGUCUGGGUGUCGUCCUUGACAGUACUCUUUCCUUCAAAUCCCACAUCAGCCUUACCACUCGGACUGCCUACUUCCAUCUCUGCCACAUCAAUCGGCUCCGUCCCUCCCUCUCCCCUAACACCACCUCCAUCCUCGUCCACAGUCUCGUCACCUCCCGUCUGGACUACUGCAACUCCCUCCUCUUCAGUCUCCCUCACACGUCUCUCCUUAAACUUCAACUGGUCCACAACUCCACUGCCCGAUUCAUCACCAAAACCCCUUCGUCCCACUACGUCACCCCCAUCCUGCAGCAGCUCCACUGGCUCCCGGUCCCACUAAGAAUCCAGUUCAAAAUCCUCCUGUAUACCUUUAAAGCCAUCCACAGCCUCGCCCCUCCUUACCUGUCUGACCUCCUCCACAUCGCCACUCCAUCACGCCGCCUCCGAUCCUCUUCCUCUCUCCACCUCACUGUGCCCCCUGUUCACCUUAGCACCAUGGGGGGCAGAGCUUUCAGUCGCUCUGCCCCCCGACUCUGGAACUCUUUACCAUCACACAUCCGCAACAUAGACUCCCUCCCCCUAUUCAAGUCCAAACUCAAGACACACCUGUUUAAACUGGCCUAUCCAUCCCACCACCCCUAACUCACUCUUUUAAUUUAAUUUUAAUUGGUAUUAUUUAUUUCUUUAUUUAUUCCUUUGCUGUUGUUUAUGUUGCUUUGUUGAUUUUAACUGUUUUGAUGAUUGAUGAUUUUAAUUGUUAAUAGUGUUUUGUUAUUAUUGUUUUAUAUGUUCUGUAAAGUGUCCUUGAGUGACAUGAAAGGCGCUCCAAAUAAAAUGUAUUAUUAUUAUUAUUAUUAUUAUUAUUAUUAUUAUUAUAUACCAUUAGAACAAAGACUC
RNAcentral lists this long non-coding RNA (3071 nucleotides) under Xyrichtys novacula (pearly razorfish). Lineage: Eukaryota; Metazoa; Chordata; Actinopteri; Labriformes; Labridae. The record is from RNAcentral.